ACCAAAGCAAAAGGAGUUGACGCCAAUGGUAAUAAAUGCAAUUACCAAGAAUUAUUCCUACAUGUUGGCACAAAACCAAGGCAGUCCAGAAAAAAUUGAAAAAGGAGUCAGAGGGAUGAUUGACCAUAUGUAUGGGAAACAUCAAACCUGUGAUAUGAAAUGGUGUGGUUAUCUAAAAGACAGAACAUCAUACAGGCACACAAACUUACCCUUCGGAAAGGACUUGACAUCUGAAAGCCUCAAAGCUGAUCUAGAGAAAUUGUUUCUGGGAAAAAUUGAAAGCCAAUCAAAGAAACUGUCAAAACUUGCUAGCUCCCAAGCAAAUGAAAGCUUUAACCAUAUGGUCUCAACCAAAGCAGCAAAAAAAAGCAUUAUUCUGGUUCCUCAAGUUUAAAUUAUCGUGUCAGUGCAGCAGUCUUACACAAAAAUGAGGGAUAUGGUUAUGUGUCAAAGGUUAGUGAAGCAGAUGGAUUGUCACCUGGGAAUGAGACUAUCAAGAGGGCUAUACGAUUGAAUAGAAAGAGGAAUAAAAAAUCUGAAAGAGCAAAAACAAAGCAGCACAAAAAAAGAAGAUUCAAUCUAAAAAAAGAAAGAUCAGGAAAAAGUACCGUUGUUGAAAUAAGAGAAGGAAGAACUUAUGAAAGUGAAAUAGGAAUGAACAAUGAGAAGUUAGAUGAAGAAAUCCCUGCUCCAAUGAAUGCAUCUUUAUGUAUACCGAUAGAUAUUUCUACAGCUCCACUGGUAGUCUUUGAUUUAGAAACUACAAGCCUAUAUAGAACCUCAGAUGUAAUACAGAUUGCUGCAACUUCAAACAAUAAUGAAUUUAGCAGUUACAUCUUUCCAAACCAACCUAUCUCAAUACAGGCCUCCGAAAUUACAAAAAUUACCGUUUCUGCAAAUCAGAUGUUUUAUAAUUUACAACCUGUUUCGUACAAAUUACCACAUGAAGCUCUCACUGAUUUUAUAACAUUUCUUUCCAAAUAUCCAUCCAAGCCAGUUCUUGUAGGACACAACAUCAAACGCUUUGAUUGCCAUGUUUUGUACCAUUCUCUAAAGGCAAAUCAGAUGUUGAAUGAGUUUUCAUCUCACAUAUGUGGAUUCAUAGACACCAUGGAGUUAUUCAAGAAAAUAAUGCCAGGAUUACCAUCAUAUUCUCAAACUUCAUUGGUGUCACAACUUCUUUGUGAAAACUAUUGUGCACACAAUGCAGUUGAUGACACUAGAGCAUUGUUUAAAUUAUUAACCUCAAAAGCCUUAAACAAUCUGGAUUCAUUUGUAUUUCCUGCAAGUCAUCCUUAUGAUUGUAUAGUCCAGAAAGACAAUCUUAAGUCUUAUAAUGAAGCCAUUGCUUGUAAAGCAAUUACACGAGCGACUGCUUUGAAGGCUUCUAAAUCAAACUUAAAGCUCUCUCAUCUUAAACUUUCUGUUGAGAGAAUGGGACUAGAAGGAUUAAAAGCUUUAUUGUCUGAAAAAACUGACAGAGGAAAUGUUCGAGUCACAAAUUGCAUGAAGGUCAUUCGAAAAAUAUUUGACUUCCUUACUCCUGAAAGCUAGUUGAUAAUUCUUUGUUUUUAUACUGGAAUUAUAUAUUAUAUCUGUUCAGCUAACCUUGUGGGCAAUUGCCAUCACUAGUCAUCAAUUGUCUGUAAACAUUAUUUUUUAUCUCAUGCUUGAGGAAUAGUGAACAGAAUUUUAUCAAACUUUGCAGAUAAAUUAUUUCUAUCAAUUAAUGUCCUUUUAAAUUGUUGAAGAUUAGGAGACAAUUGGUAAAGAUAGAUAGCCAUCCUGUCUGAAUGUAAAUUGUCAUUGGUUAAUCUUGAUUGAAACCUUCUUCUCAAGAAAUCCUGUAGGGAUUGAAACAAAACAUAGUACAUUUAUUUAUUUUCCGAUCAAGGUAUUGAACAAGUGGUGUUAUCUUAUUGCCAAUCAAAAUAAGAGCCAGCAAAGAUCAAAUGUCAAUUUACAUGUUGCUUUAUAUUUUAACUACAAAUGAUAUUAAGUGACAAACUUUGUAAGAUGAUCAGUUCGAGAUACUAGCUUUGGUUCUAGGAAGGAGCUUAAAGGGUCAGUUCAGUACACAUUUCAAUGAUAACAGCAUUAUAGAUUGAAUUGAAAAUAAAAAGUAGAUACAUAUUUAUUUCAAGGUCCUAAACAAGUGUUUUGACUGUUGUAGAAAUUCAAAAUGGCCAUCAGUGAAGUUAAAAGCUUAUUGAUAGAAACCCAAUGGGAGAUAUUUAAAGUUGUAUUUCUUGUAGUAUUUUUGUCAAUGAGAAAAAUAAUCUUUACCAGAUGCAUUGCAAAAUGAUAUCACUCAUUACUGGUACAGUCUAAUUGUAUCCAAUUAUGUUUCUUUGGCAAAUGAAGUAUCUUACCUUUUGCCUAGUUGUAUUUUAAGGAAUAAAUUAUGUCUUUAAUUUAUCUUUCAAGAUAAGAAUUAGUAUUCUGAAGGAAAUGUAAAAAAAAAAGGUGGUAUUUGCAUAAAAUGCCUGGCAGAACAGGAUAAUUACACUCCCUAUUGCACUGUGAAAUGUCUUGUUAUAUGAAUGAAAUAAGUGCCACAAAUCAAACCAUGCUUUUAAACAAUUUCAUUGGUUAAUUGAUUUUGGAUUUAAUGUUAUAUGGAUCAGUUAAUGUAUGGGACCAUAAAUAUGUCCAUAAAUAAAUACUUAUAUCACCUAUA
Long non-coding RNA from Mytilus californianus (California mussel), 2680 nucleotides. RefSeq lists it as uncharacterized. Lineage: Eukaryota; Metazoa; Mollusca; Bivalvia; Mytilida; Mytilidae. The transcript is spliced from 4 exons. The record is from RefSeq and is a predicted model, not a curated record.